GGGCCUAUAGCUCAGCUGGAAGAGCGCUUCAAUGGCAUUGAAGAGGUCAGGGGUUCAAGUCCCCUUAGGUCCA
Molecule: transfer RNA, 73 nt
Filed under: Anaerolineae bacterium
Lineage: Bacteria; Bacillati; Chloroflexota; Anaerolineae
Description: tRNA-Ala
Rfam family: tRNA
About the family: Transfer RNA (tRNA) molecules are approximately 80 nucleotides in length. Their secondary structure includes four short double-helical elements and three loops (D, anti-codon, and T loops).
Source: RNAcentral